This is a long non-coding RNA of Magallana angulata, 1708 nucleotides long. RefSeq lists it as uncharacterized. Lineage: Eukaryota; Metazoa; Mollusca; Bivalvia; Ostreida; Ostreidae. The transcript has 3 exons. The record is from RefSeq and is a predicted model, not a curated record.
UAUUUUGCUUAUUCUUUACAGAACAAGACUGUGUCACAAAGACACCAGGUAGUUCACUCCUGAUAUACAUUGUAUGUAUUUAUUUGGAGAAAUACAUAUAUUAUAUUUGAUUUUAUAAAUUGAACAAAUAUUUCGGACAUAACCUCUUACUAUAUAUGAAUGUUUUUUAAACAGACGAUUUAAUGUGUUCCACUCACAUCAAGAGCUCUCUGAAGUAAAUGAAGUGGACAGGGUUGUAGGAUUACAUGUACCACACUAUGUGCAUGAGCAUGAUUAUGCACAGAAAGAAGAUGAAGUAGACAAUCAUAUUCUCCUGAAGGAUGAUGACAGUAAUAUAAGUGACAAAGAGAUAGAAUGGUUCAUAGGCAAACGUGUAAUAGAACUAGGAUAUGUUGUGAACAAACGAAUGAGGGCUGUAAAUUUUGUGGACUUCCGUUGAAGGUAUAUGAUAUUUGUAGUGAAGUGAGAUACGGACUUGGUUCAUUACUGCGAAUAAACUGUAAAAAUUGCAAAAAAGUUACUUCUGUCUCGAGUGGAAAGAGACACUCGCGCUUGGAUGAUCAUGCAAGCAGAGCAUUUGAAUGAAAACGCAAAGCCUGCUUUAGGAAUGCUACAUGCAAGCAUAGGGGAGAAAAAGGUAAAUGAAAAAUUGUUUCUUUCACCUGGGAUAGUUACAUGCACAAUUGCAUUAAAAACAGACUGAAAAGAAAGAAAGACACAGAAGAUACAAUGGAGUACAAGAAAAUAAGAGCAUUGAAGAAAGUCGAUAGCAAGAACAUCAAGAAUCAUCGGCAGUGAAAGAGGGGAACAAAUACGAAACUGAUGUUGACAUCAUGAACAACACUGACAACAGCAUUAUAGAAAUACCCCCUCCUCUCACAAAACCCCAUCUAACAGCAUUGCAGCUAGGCAGUAUACAUUUGUAUACUUUGACUUGGAAAGAACAGGUCUUGAUUGUGAAGUAACACAGAUUGGAGCGUAUACUGAUGAUAAAGCAUUUUCCCAGUAUGUCACUCCUUCAACAAAACCCAUUUCUGCUUCUGCUAUAGAAGUGACUGGACUAGCCAUCAGAGACAAUAUCAUGUACAAGAAUGGACGUCAAGUUCUCAAUAAGACAACUCACGAAGCUUUGCAAUCAUUUAUUGCUUGGACGAAGCAAUAUACAAACAUUAUUCUUGUUGCCCACAAUGCCAUGUGUUUGAUUCAAGAGUUAUUGUGCGUGUAUUUAAAACAGUGGGAUUGUGUGUCAGUGACUUCUUGGUUGGAUUUACUGAUACUCUGCCAUUAUGUAGAGAAUCCAUCCUAAACAGAGAAUCAUAUAAGCUUAUAGAUUUGGCUAAAGACAUAUGUAGUAGGCAUUAUGAUGCUCAUGAUGCUUUGUCUGAUGCUCAGACCUUACAAGAACUUAUGGUUUGUGUAAAAGUCUCUUCAGAUAUGUUGCUCAAACAUAUUUUCUCAACCCAGUUUGUUAUAGAAAACAUCUCUUUUGCAGACACGACAAGCAGAUAUUUAUGUUCUUUACAACAUCUUGUAGAUAGCAAUAUCUUGUCAAAAAUCACUGCAAAUAAAAUUGCAUCAUCUGGCCUUCAUUUCCAGCACCUUUCUCUUGCCUGUCAGAGAGAUGCAGUAAAUGGAAUAAAGUUUGUAUUGUCUCACAAUUAUGCAACAGGUAAAGUGUGCGUUACUUCAAAUUCUAGGAUUAUUUCUU